UACGUAGGGUGCAAGCGUUAAUCGGAAUUACUGGGCGUAAAGCGUGCGCAGGCGGUGAUGCAAGACAGAUGUGAAAUCCCCGGGCUCAACCUGGGAACUGCAUUUGUGACUGCAUCGCUGGAGUGCGGCAGAGGGGGAUGGAAUUCCGCGUGUAGCAGUGAAAUGCGUAGAUAUGCGGAGGAACACCGAUGGCGAAGGCAAUCCCCUGGGCCUGCACUGACGCUCAUGCACGAAAGCGUGGGGAGCGAACAGG
RNAcentral lists this ribosomal RNA (253 nucleotides) under uncultured bacterium. RNAcentral's name for it is "partial 16S ribosomal RNA". It matches the Rfam family "Bacterial small subunit ribosomal RNA", at positions 524 to 776 of the family's 1533-position model. The record is from RNAcentral.